CCCCCCCCCCCCAACCUCCCCUCUUCCUCUCCUUGGGGAGGCUGAACCCUUGCAUAGACUCGCCCUAAAAGAAUCUGAGCCGAGGGUUCCUAGAGAUGAAGAGACGGGGGAAACAGGUUUCCACUGCUCUUUGCUCGGAUUGGGGGCCGGUUGCCCUCUCGUCGUCGUCUGCGUUCCCUGAGCUGGGAGGCUCUCGCGGGAGUGGUGGCGGGUGUUCCUUAAAGGCUUGUAAGCAUUGUCUGAAGGGCGGUGGUGAGAGCAGGCAGUCCGAGAGGGCUCUCUAUUCUUUCUCACACCAGGGCUCCAAGAACACUGUGUCCAAGGGUGUGGUUUUCCUCCUUGAAGAUAACCUUGAAGAUACCCUACAAACGUUCUUAUUUUCCAUAUUAACCCAUUAUAGGAGGGGUAUAAUGCGAUUGUUCAAAUCUUUCUUAGAAAAGUUGUUAUUUUCAGUGGUAUUAUCUAAAGAUGUUUAGGUAGUAAGUUCCAUAAAUUAACAACACGGGGGGGGGGGAGCUGGUUGUUGUCUUAUUUGUGCAGAACUUUCCUUUUUCAAGUGCCAAGGAGUAUUAGCAAGCUCUGUUAAAGUGGGAUUUGGUGGAAACAUCUAAAUUCUGUCCACGUCUUCCCUAUUUUCUCUGCUUUUCUUGCAUUCCCUCAGUGUGUUUGGAAGAGAAGGAAGAGCAUUUAGGCUUAUGAAUUUGAUAUCCCAAACCCCUUGUGUGACCUUGGGCAAGUCUUUCCUACUCCUCUAUUUCUUCAUCUGGAAAACAGCUUUAGCAUAAAGCUUAAGUGAGCUAAUAGAACAGGCAUCAAGUGGAAGCCUAAUAGGGCAGCCCCAUGAGACUGCCACACUCUUACUUCCUUAGUGUAUCAGUCAUCCAGCUCUAGAGUAUGCUGUGUAACAAACUACCCCAAAACCCAGUGCCUUAAAAUAUUAAUCAUUUAUUUUUGCAUGUUCAUCUACAGGUCAGUCAGCUGCUGCUGGUUUGGACCAGGCUGGGCUUGGUUGCAGGUUGCCAGCUGAAUCUAGGUCUGCAGGACCAGGAACUAGCUGGUGCUUAUUCUUCUCAAGGUCCUGGGAGUUUACUCCGUGCAUCCAGGAGAUAGGAAAAGAGGAAACAAAUACAAGACUGCACUGGAGUUUUUAUGGACCAGUCUUAGAGCCAGCUGCCAUGUUGUGAGCAGUUCUACGGAGAGGACCACGGAGUGAGGGAGCGCCAGUCUGUGGCCAACAGCCAGUGAGGAGCUGAGGCGAUCAACAAGCGAGUUUGGAAGCAAGUCCUCCGGCCCCAGGUGAGUCUUCAGAUGGCUGCAGCUCUGGGUGACAAUUUGACUGUAACCUUCUGGGACACCCUGAGCCAGAACCUCCCAGCCAAGCCAUUCCCAGAAACUGUGAGAUAGUAAGUGUUUGCUGUUUUAUGCUGCCAGGGUUAGGAAUAAUUUGUUAGUCAGCAAGAGACAAACUCAUUCACUAUCAAAAGUGGGGAGAACAGAUAGGUCAAGAGUACCAUGUAGUUAAAAAAAUUAAGAAAGAGCUUAUUUGUCUGUGGAAGUAAAGAAUAUUUAUAUCAUUAGGAAGCCUGCCGUAGUAAGAACUAUGGUAUAUGGGAAGGAUGAGACAGUCUUCAUGAGCCAGGCCGAUUUUACUUCCUCACGUGCUCUACCUGGCCCCUUUAGGUCUUUAAGUCUUCCAAGCUUGCUAUAAAGCAACGGUUUUCAAAUCGUUUUUGACCUUGAUGAUUGACUCCCUCCCCAAGAAGUGCAUUAAGUACACUUCACACUGUGAUAUGGUAUUCACAUGAGCGCACACAAAUGAAACAGAAGUUCUCUAGAACAAUAUUCACUUUCACUAUGAGUGAUAUAUUCUAAGCUUCUCUGUUGUAUUCAUUUUCAUUUUUUUAAAGCAUUUUCAUUUGGAAAUAAUUAUAGACUCAUGGAAAGUUGCAAAGAUGGUACAACUGAGGUCCCCUGUGUACUCAAUGGUAGCAUCGUGUAUGACUAUAGUGCAGCAUCAAAACCAGGCAACUGACAAUGGUGCAAUCUGCAGACCUUUCUAGAUUUCACCAGUUUAUUAUGUGCAGUGUGUGUGUGUGUGUGUGUGUGUAUUUCUCUGCAAUUUUAUCACAUGUACAGAGUUGUACAACCACUACAAUCCAGAUACAGACGUAUUCCAUCACCACAAAGGGAAAUCCCUUGUGCUACACCUUUAUAGGGUCACCUACCCCCACUCUUCCCCGACUCAUAGCCCCUGGCAAACACAAUCUAUCCUCUGUCUCUAAAAUUUUGUCUUUUGAGAUUGGCUUUUCUCACUGAGCACGAGGCCCUUGGGAUCCAUUCAAAUUGUGGAGUGUACCACAAGUUCAGUCCUUAUUAUUUCUGAGUGGUAUUCCGUGGCAUGAAUGUACCCCUUACUGAAGGCCAUUUGACUGCAGUUUUCAGCUAUUAAAAAUAACACUGCUGUGAACAUUUGUGUACAUUUUUUGGUGCGUGUGGACAUAAGUUUUCAUUUCUCUUGGAUAAUGUCUAGGGAAGUGUUUGCUGGGUCAUAGGGUAAGUGCAUUUUAGUUUUGUAAGAAAUUGCUCAGGGGUCUGCAUGGCUCAGUCAGUUGAGCAUCUGACUCUUGAUUUCAGGUCAGGUCAUGAUCCCAGGGUUGUGGAAUCAAGUCCCAUGUUGGGCUCUGCGCUGAGGAUGAAGCCUGCUUGGGAUUCUCUCUCUGUGUCCCUCUGCCCCUCUUCCUCAGCCCCUCUCCCCUGCUCUCUCUUUCUCUUGAAGGAAGGAAGGAAGGAAGGAAGGAAGGAAAGAAAGAAAGAAAGAAAGAAAGAAAGAAAGAAAGAAAGAAAGAAAGAAAGAAAAGAAAGAAAGAAAAAGAAAUAGCCAAGAAAUU
Panthera uncia (snow leopard) is the source of this 2888-nucleotide long non-coding RNA. RefSeq lists it as uncharacterized. NCBI's taxonomy places the organism in Eukaryota, Metazoa, Chordata, Mammalia, Carnivora, Felidae. The record is from RefSeq and is a predicted model, not a curated record. The transcript has 3 exons.